This 466-nucleotide ribosomal RNA is filed under the name uncultured bacterium. Its description in RNAcentral is "partial 16S ribosomal RNA". It matches the Rfam family "Bacterial small subunit ribosomal RNA", at positions 28 to 507 of the family's 1533-position model. The record is from RNAcentral.
GACGAACGCUGGCGGCGUGCUUAACACAUGCAAGUCGAACGGAAAGGCCUCGUUCUUGGGGUACUCGAGUGUGGAACGCGGGAGUAACACGUGAGUAUCCUGCCCUUGACUUUUUGAUAACUUCAGGAAACUGGGGCGAAUACCGCAUAUGAGCUCCUGCUGCAUGUGGGGGGUGGGAAAGUUUCGGCGGGUGUGGCGGGACUCUGGGGGUAUCAGCUUGUUUGGGGGGGGUUGGCUUACCAAGUCAUUGACGGGGAUCCGGCCGAUGAGGGGGACCGGCCACAUUGGGACUGAGAUACGGCGCAGAGGCCUACGGGAGGCAACAGUGGGGAAGAGUGCACAAUGGGCGGAAGCCGGAUGCAGCAACGCCGCGGGGGGGAUGACGGCCUUCGGGUUGGAAACCGAUUUCGCCUGGGACGAAGCGUGAGUGACGGUAAUGGGAGAAGAAGCACCGGCUAACUACGUG